This 253-nucleotide ribosomal RNA is filed under the name uncultured bacterium. Its description in RNAcentral is "partial 16S ribosomal RNA". It matches the Rfam family "Bacterial small subunit ribosomal RNA", at positions 524 to 776 of the family's 1533-position model. The record is from RNAcentral.
UACAGAGGGUGCAAGCGUUAAUCGGAAUUACUGGGCGUAAAGCGUGCGUAGACGGUUAUGUAAGUCAGAUGUGAAAGCCCCGGGCUCAACCUGGGAAUUGCAUUUGAGACUGCAUAGCUAGGGUGCGGAAGAGGGAAGCGGAAUUUCCGGUGUAGCGGUGAAAUGCGUAGAUAUCGAGAGGAACACCAGUGGCGAAGGCGAGUCCCUGGACAACACCUGACACUGAGGCACGAAAGCUAGGGGAGCAAACAGG